CCGUUGCCAAGGGAUGGGUCCCUGAGACUUGGCGAAGUGGGAGCCCUGUGUGAUCGUGCGUCAGAGUCGGGGCUGAGACCAGCCCCGGCCAGGGUAGUUACCGGGACGGUCUCCGGAGGCCGGGAUUCGCGGAGGGUCCACCAGCAGGAAGAAACCCCAGGAGGAAGAAACCUCAGACAGAUCGCCGGGGAGGCAGCGCGGGAUCCCAGCCUCAGGCGUGCGCGGACGGUGUGCGGCUACCCAAGGUGCGAAAAAGAAAGAAGGCCGAAGGGAAGAAGGUGGUGCUCACCCUUGCUGUCUUGAAAAAGCAGGAGACCAUGAAAGUGGUGAAUCUUCCAUUUGAGAAAUUUGGCACUGGACAGGACAUUUUGGCAUUGGACAGAACAUCCAGCCCAAAAGGGACCUCACUUACUUUGUCAAAUGGCCCCAUUAUACUAGGUUGCAGCAGCAGAGAGCCAUCCUCUAUAAACAGCUAGAAGUGCCUUCUGUGAUUAAUCAGUUCACCAGGGCCUUGGACCACCAAACAGCUGCUCAAUGGGGUAAGCGGGCUGGCAAGUACAGACCAGAGACAAAGCAAGAGAAACAGCAGAGACUGUUGGCCUGGGCUGAGAAGAAAGCAAAGGAGACAUCCCCACUAAGAGAUCACCUGUCCUUUUAAUGGGGGUUAACGCUGUCACCACCUUAGUGGAGAAAAAGAAGGCUCAGCUGGUGGUGACUGCACAGGACAGAGAUCCCAUUGAGUUGGUUGUCUUCCUGCCUGCCCUGUGUUGUAAACUGGGGGUUCCUUACUGCAUUAUC
This 798-nucleotide long non-coding RNA is filed under the name Homo sapiens (human). RNAcentral's name for it is "PREDICTED lncRNA (TCONS_00173975)". Lineage: Eukaryota; Metazoa; Chordata; Mammalia; Primates; Hominidae. The record is from RNAcentral.